RNAcentral lists this non-coding RNA (88 nucleotides) under Geosporobacter ferrireducens. RNAcentral's name for it is "c-di-GMP sequence". It matches the Rfam family "c-di-GMP-I riboswitch aptamer". From Rfam's summary of the family: GEMM was predicted in a large-scale screen for bacterial structured RNA regulatory elements. Genes associated with GEMM are involved in a diverse array of functions, including chemotaxis regulation, signal transduction, secretion and chitin. The record is from Rfam by way of RNAcentral. Lineage: Bacteria; Bacillati; Bacillota; Clostridia; Peptostreptococcales; Thermotaleaceae.
UUCCGAUAAUAGCAAACCCGGUGAAAGCCGGGGACGCAAAGCCUACAGAUCUAAGGUGAGAAAUCACGAUGAUGGCUGGGUUGCCGAA